RNAcentral lists this ribosomal RNA (253 nucleotides) under uncultured bacterium. RNAcentral's name for it is "partial 16S ribosomal RNA". It matches the Rfam family "Bacterial small subunit ribosomal RNA", at positions 524 to 776 of the family's 1533-position model. The record is from RNAcentral.
UACAGAGGUCUCAAGCGUUGUUCGGAUUCAUUGGGCGUAAAGGGUGCGUAGGCGGCUUGUUAAGUCAGGGGUGAAAGUUUUCGGCCCAACCGGAAAAUUGCCUUUGAUACUGGCGAGCUUGAGUGCGUGAGGGGUAACCGGAACGAGUCGUGUAGCGGUGAAAUGCGUAGAUAUGACUCGGAAGGCCAACGGCGAAGGCAGGUUACUGGUACGCAACUGACGCUGAGGCACGAAAGCGUGGGGAGCAAACAGG